CUUGCUUCUCUUGAGAGCGGCGGACGGGUGAGUAAUGCCUAGGAAUCUGCCUGGUAGUGGGGGAUAACGUUCGGAAACGGACGCUAAUACCGCAUACGUCCUACGGGAGAAAGCAGGGGACCUUCGGGCCUUGCGCUAUCAGAUGAGCCUAGGUCGGAUUAGCUAGUUGGUGGGGUAAUGGCUCACCAAGGCGACGAUCCGUAACUGGUCUGAGAGGGUGAUCAGUCACACUGGAACUGAGACACGGUCCAGACUCCUACGGGAGGCAGCAGUGGGGAAUAUUGGACAAUGGGCGAAAGCCUGAUCCAGCCAUGCCGCGUGUGUGAAGAAGGUCUUCGGAUUGUAAAGCACUUUAAGUUGGGAGGAAGGGUUGUAGAUUAAUACUCUGCAAUUUUGACGUUACCGACAGAAUAAGCACCGGCUAACUCUGUGCCAGCAGCCGCGGUAAUACAGAGGGUGCAAGCGUUAAUCGGAAUUACUGGGCGUAAAGCGCGCGUAGGUGGUUUGUUAAGUUGGAUGUGAAAUCCCCGGGCUCAACCUGGGAACUGCAUUCAAAACUGACUGACUAGAGUAUGGGUAGAGGGGUGGUGGAAUUUCCUGUGUAGCGGUGAAAUG
This 615-nucleotide ribosomal RNA is filed under the name uncultured bacterium. RNAcentral describes it as "bacterial SSU rRNA". It matches the Rfam family "Bacterial small subunit ribosomal RNA", at positions 79 to 688 of the family's 1533-position model. The record is from RNAcentral.